Molecule: ribosomal RNA, 916 nt
Filed under: uncultured archaeon
Lineage: Archaea
Description: bacterial SSU rRNA
Rfam family: Archaeal small subunit ribosomal RNA
Source: RNAcentral
UUCCGGUUGAUCCUGCCAGAGGCUACUGCUAUCGGGGUUCGAUUAAGCCAUGCAAGUUAAAUGUUCUUCGUGAACAUAGCGAACUGCUCAGUAACACGUGAUAACCUACCCUUAGGACCGGAAUAACCCCGGGAAACUGGGGAUAAUACCGGAUAAGCCAUAGACGCUGGAAUGCCCUAUGGUUCAAAGCUCCGGCGCCUAAGGAUGGAUCUGCGGUCUAUCAGGUUGUAGUGGGUGUAACGUACCUACUAGCCGACGACGGAUACGGGUUGUGAGAGCAAGAGCCCGGAGAUGGAUUCUGAGACACGAAUCCAGGCCCUACGGGGUGCAGCAGGCGCGAACACUUUACAAUGCGGGAAACCGCGAUAAGGGAACCCCGAGUGCCAGCAUCAAAUGUUGGCUGUCCAGAUGAUUAAAAAUCAUUUGUUAGCAAGGGCCGGGCAAGACCGGUGCCAGCYGCCGCGGUAACACCGGCGGCCCGAGUGGUAGCCGUUUUUAUUGGGUCUAAAGGGUCCGUAGCCGGCCUGAUAAGUCCUUUGGGAAAUCUGGCAGCUUAGCUGUCAGGCUUCUAAGGGAUACUGUCAGGCUUGAGACCGGAAGAGGUAAGGGGUACUCCAGGGGUAGGAGUGAAAUCUUGUAAUCCCUGGGGGACCAUCUGUGGCGAAGGCGCCUUACCAGAACGGGUCCGACGGUGAGGGACGAAAGCUAGGGGAGCAAACCGGAUUAGAUACCCGGGUAGUCCUAGCUGUAAACGAUGCUCGCUAGGUGUCAGACACGGUGCGACCGUGUUUGGUGCCGCAGGGAAGCCGUUAAGCGAGCCACCUGGGAAGUACGGUCGCAAGGCUGAAACUUAAAGGAAUUGGCGGGGGAGCACUACAACGGGUGGAGCUGCGGUUUAAUUGGAUUCAACGCCGGG